GUGGGGAAUAUUGGACAAUGGGGGGAACCCUGAUCCAGCCAUGCCGCGUGUGUGAAGAAGGCCUUUUGGUUGUAAAGCACUUUAAGCGAGGAGGAGGCUACCGAGAUUAAUACUCUUGGAUAGUGGACGUUACUCGCAGAAUAAGCACCGGCUAACUCUGUGCCAGCAGCCGCGGUAAUACAGAGGGUGCAAGCGUUAAUCGGAUUUACUGGGCGUCAAGCGCGCGUAGGUGGCCAAUUAAGUCAAAUGUGAAAUCCCCGAGCUUAACUUGGGAAUUGCAUUCGAUACUGGUUGGCUAGAGUAUGGGAGAGGAUGGUAGAAUUCCAGGUGUAGCGGUGAAAUGCGUAGAGAUCUGGAGGAAUACCGAUGGCGAAGGCAGCCAUCUGGCCUAAUACUGACACUGAGGUGCGAAAGCAUGGGGAGCAAACAGGAUUAGAAACCCUGGUAGUCC
This 451-nucleotide ribosomal RNA is filed under the name uncultured bacterium. RNAcentral describes it as "bacterial SSU rRNA". It matches the Rfam family "Bacterial small subunit ribosomal RNA", at positions 354 to 796 of the family's 1533-position model. The record is from RNAcentral.